AUUGUGGUGGUGGCGAUGGUUGGGGUAAAGGGGACGUUUGAUAAUGCUAUAACUCUCCCUCUCGUCCCUCUCACUCUCCCUCCCAGCAAACACAGACAGCCGCCAGCCUCCCGCCACCGCCGCCCCUACAGGCACAAAGACCCGACGGUGACUCCCUGCUAAUGUCUGAAGGAGGUGGACUCUUCCCCAGCCCGGCCAGAGGGGAACUGAGGGUUUGAGGCCGCCCUGGAAUACUACAGGUGGCGUGAGGGCGGUGUGGUGGGGGAGGAGGUUUUUGUAGAGGCUGAUCGUCAAGGGGUUUGGAAACGUGUGUGUAUGUGUGUAUGUGUGUGUGUGUGUGUGGGUGUGUGUGGGUGUGAUUCUAACUUGCUUGAGGGUUUCUUUUUUUACAUAUUGUUUGCUUAGAUUAUUCUUCUCUUGCAUCCCGCUUAUUCCACCGUCUGUAACUCAUGCCUGUAUUUUCCUCCUCGCCCCGCAGCGGCCAAGGGGAGCGUGCCGUGCAGCCGCCGCGGCCGCCUGCUUGUACAUGAGGCCACACGGCACAGGUAGCGUUCCCCCCUGCUUCGAAUCGUCACCAGGUAUAAUAUCUAAACUUCUAAAUGUCCGGGUCUGUGGGAGUGUACAGUUUACGAGAUCAUUAAAAUGUUAUAUGAAGAUAACGCUUUACCUCUCCACCUCUCGCGCGAGUAUCGAUUCAAACCUGGCGCUGCCGCGUGGCCCCGCCCCCCUGGCCACGCCUGCUCCGCCGCUCAUUGGCUCUCGCACCCAAUAAUUAUUUAUUUUAUGUGUUGACAGAAAAUUCUUGCGGGCAAUGUUUCUCCUUUUCUUCACGCCAUUUAGUGUUUGUAUCUGUCUGUCCUUCACGUUUCCGUCACGCUGGCCGCCGCCGAAGGCUCUGGAAAAGCAGUUAAGGGCGCUGAGGCACCUUUAGCGAUGGUACAAAGCUGGCACUCCUAAAUACUGCCACUCGCUAUCAUCCCUCCCAUGGGGUGUGUCUCCCGCCAACUCGGUCGCUGUUCAGUGGCAGACGACACUCGGCAGCGAUAGCAUUUAGGGUGGCGGCCCACACUCACGUAUAUCAGUCGGACCUUUAGUUUAACCCUGUACAAAGCGUGUGGCUCCUGCCUCCCGCUCGCUACGGUGCCGGAAAUUCCAGCCGGGGAGGACCGGACAUCAAGAUGGCUCGGAUAUUCUCGGAUGGCGGAGCGAUAGCAGACGACGCGCUUAGAGCCAUCUUUGACGGAGGUGGCGGCCAGUCGGGAGGGUGGCGCGGCGGGGCCAGCGUGGGCGGCUAGUGAGUCUCGGCGUGCCCUUCCUGCAGCACACACGCUCCUCCCGUCGCUCCUGUCCUUGCCUGGCCUCCACACAGACGCCGCUACACAACAGUGUCUUUGCUGUGCCAGUGCUGACUUGUUCCCGCUCAGGAAGUGGCACUCAGAGCCAGAGACACAACCUGGCAGCAGCACCUCCUUGGGUCGAGAAGGCGUCACGUGGGGGGCUGCUGGUGACGCUGGGCGGGACACGAUGACGCAAUACUCGGACUUACGCAACGCUAUCAGCUUCCCAGUACUACCGACGUCAACGAGGCCGAAGGGAAAGGCAAGAAGCAAGAGAAGGCAAGAAGAACGACCCACCCAGCAGUAGUACGUCCGUCGCCUCUCCCUCCAUCCUUCCACAGGUUUUUUCAGCGGCAGACACGUCAAUAUGGUGGUGUCUGCUGUGUGUGUGUGUGUGUGUGUGUGUGUGUGUCUGGGAGGAUAGGGAGGAUGGUGAAUGGAUGAAGGGAAGAGCAAUAGACAGUUGGAUGGAUAGGAUGGAAAGGAUAGUGGUGGAUGAUUGAAAGGAUAAAUAAAAGGGUAGAAUAUGUAGUUUGAUGGAUGCGUGGAUGAAUGAUUGGGAGGAUAGUUAACAGAGGAAGAGAAAGGUGAAUAAGUAGUUACGUAGAUAAAUGGAAGUGAGGAAGGAGUGAGAGAAUGGUGAAUAGAUGAAUAAACGGGUGAAUAGGUAGUCUAAUGGAUGAAUAGAAGGGCAAAAGAGGUAGUUUGAGGCAUGAAAGAGUGAAGAAUUGGAAAGACACUUAAUAGAAUGGAAGGAUAAAUGGGUAGUUACGUAGAUGGAUGAAUGGAAGAAAAUAUUGGGAGGAUAGUGAGUGAAUGAAUGGAAGACUGAAUGAGUAAAUGGAUAAAAGGGUAAGCUAAUACGGAGGAUGAGUAAAGAGUGGGUGACUAAUGGCCUUACUCACUCUCCAUUUACCUGUUGAUCCUAUAUACCUGACUAAUUAAUUGUCUGUAUACCUGUCUGUCUAUCUGUCUGUGUGUCUGUCUUUGCUUCGAGUUCUCUCUACAUGUAUAUCUGUGUCUGUCAACCUCUUUAUCGAUUUUUCUGUGUGUCUUUGUGUGUGUAUCUUAUCUAUCUUCCUGUGUGUGUGUGUGUGUGUGUGUGUGUGUGUGUGUGUGUGUGUGUGUACCUAAUCUUAUCUUUGUAUGUAUGUACGUUUGUUUGCUUGUCUUUCUAUUUCUGUCUCAGUGUGUGUUUCCUGUCUGUCUGUCUGUGUGUCUGUUUCCUUCUCUUUCUGUAUCUCUGUCUGUAUGUCCUUGCGUCGUCACUUUGUCCUUGUAUGUUUGUUUCUUUGUCUGUCUUUCUGUCUGUCUUUGUCUCUAUAUCUUUCUCUUUCUGUCUGUGUAUCUGUCUGCCCGUGUGUCUGUCCGUCCUCUCCUCGUCCCUUUGGUCCACCUGGAGGUCUGAAUUGUUGUUUAGAGGCGCCUCCCCCGACAAGGCCUCGGCCCGCGACACAUAAGACCCAGUUGGUGCCCCCGCGAGACCCAGACAUUCCCUUCCGCCGCUGGUCACUGUCUCUGUCUGCCUCCUCCUCCUCCUACUCCUACUCCUCCUACUGCUGCUAUUCCUUCUUCGCCUUCCUGCUGCCAUUCCUUCUCCUGUUCCUUCUCGGCCUUCUCUCCCUCUUCUUCCUUCUUCUCGUUCCUGCUUUCUUUUUCUCUUCUUCGUCUUUCGGUCCUCUGCUUCUAUUUCUGCCUCUGUCUCUUUUCAUUCUGUCUCUGUUCCUCUUUCUCUUCAUUCUCCUCUUGUUUCCUCUUCUUUUUCUUCUCUGCCUCUACUCCUCCCAAACCUUUUUUGUUUCUUCUUCCUCUUCUUCUUCUUCUUUCGGUCAUUUUUCCUCCUCCUCCUCAUUCUCUUUUUCAUCAUCAUCAUCAUCAAAUUACACUAGUCUUUUUUCUUUUUAUUUAUACUUCUCGUCUUCUUCCUUUCUUCUUCUUUCUCCUCCUCUUCCUCGUUGCCUCUCCCCCCCCCCCCCCCCCCUUUCAGCACACACUCCCUUCAAACCAGCCAGUCGUU
Long non-coding RNA from Eriocheir sinensis (Chinese mitten crab), 3354 nucleotides. RefSeq lists it as uncharacterized. The transcript is spliced from 3 exons. Lineage: Eukaryota; Metazoa; Arthropoda; Malacostraca; Decapoda; Varunidae. The record is from RefSeq and is a predicted model, not a curated record.